This 469-nucleotide ribosomal RNA is filed under the name uncultured beta proteobacterium. Its description in RNAcentral is "bacterial SSU rRNA". It matches the Rfam family "Bacterial small subunit ribosomal RNA", at positions 185 to 649 of the family's 1533-position model. Lineage: Bacteria; Pseudomonadati; Pseudomonadota; Betaproteobacteria. The record is from RNAcentral.
GGAGGACACUGGGGAUCGAAAGACCUUAUGCUUCUGGAGCGGCCGCUGUCUGAUUAGCUAGCUGGUGGGGUAAAGGCUCACCAAGGCAAUGAUCAGUAGUUGGUCUGAGAGGACGACCAGCCACACUGGGACUGAGACACGGCCCAGACUCCUACGGGAGGCAGCAGUGGGGAAUUUUGGACAAUGGGCGAAAGCCUGAUCCAGCAAUGCCGCGUGAGUGAAGAAGGCCUUCGGGUUGUAAAGCUCUUUCAGUCGAGAAGAAAAAAUUAUGACUAAUAAUCAUAAUUCAUGACGGUAUCGAUAGAAGAAGCACCGGCUAACUACGUGCCAGCAGCCGCGGUAAUACGUAGGGUGCAAGCGUUAAUCGGAAUUACUGGGCGUAAAGGGUGCGCAGGCGGUUCUGUAAGUCAGAUGUGAAAUCCCCGGGCUUAACCUGGGAACUGCGUUUGAAACUACAAGGCUAGAAGGG